Regulatory RNA element from Rhizobium sp. PDO1-076, 51 nucleotides. It matches the Rfam family "Guanidine-II riboswitch aptamer (mini-ykkC)". Rfam says of the family: Simpler in structure and has fewer highly conserved nucleotide positions than the ykkC-yxkD leader. Despite this each of its two stem-loop structures directly bind free guanidine. Therefore, mini-ykkC RNA motif represents a distinct class of guanidine-sensing RNAs. Lineage: Bacteria; Pseudomonadati; Pseudomonadota; Alphaproteobacteria; Hyphomicrobiales; Rhizobiaceae. The record is from Rfam.
CGACCGGGACGGCCCGGUUCCUAGCCAAGGUCACUAGCCGGGACGACCCGG